This 253-nucleotide ribosomal RNA is filed under the name uncultured bacterium. RNAcentral describes it as "partial 16S ribosomal RNA". It matches the Rfam family "Bacterial small subunit ribosomal RNA", at positions 524 to 776 of the family's 1533-position model. The record is from RNAcentral.
UACGGAGGGUGCAAGCGUUGUCCGGAUUUAUUGGGUUUAAAGGGUGCGUAGGCGGCUUUUUAAGUCAGUGGUGAAAUCCAGCAGCUUAACUGUUGAAUUGCCAUUGAUACUGGAGAGCUUGAAUACAGACGAGGUAGGCGGAAUUUAUGGUGUAGCGGUGAAAUGCAUAGAUACCAGAAAGAACACCGAUUGCGAAGGCAGCUUACUAGGCUGUAACUGACGUUGAGGCACGAAAGUGUGGGGAUCAAACAGG